RNAcentral lists this ribosomal RNA (510 nucleotides) under uncultured bacterium. Its description in RNAcentral is "bacterial SSU rRNA". It matches the Rfam family "Bacterial small subunit ribosomal RNA", at positions 18 to 518 of the family's 1533-position model. The record is from RNAcentral.
UCUGGCUCAGGAUGAACGCUAGCACAGGCUAACACAUGCAAGUCAGGGGCAUCACGGGAGUAGCAAUACAACUGGUGGCGACCGGCGCACGGGUGAGUAACGCGUAUGCAACCUACCUAUCAGAAGGGGAAUAACCCGGCGAAAGUCGGACUAAUACCGCAUAAAACAGGGGCACCGCAUGGUGAUAUUUGUUAAAGAAAUUCGCUGAUAGAUGGGCAUGCGUUCCAUUAGGUAGUUGGUGAGGUAACGGCUCACCAAGCCGACGAUGGAUAGGGGAACUGAGAGGUUGGUCCCCCACACUGGUACUGAGGCACGGACCAGACUCCUACGGGAGGCAGCAGUGAGGAAUAUUGGUCAAUGGGCGGGAGCCUGAACCAGCCAAGUCGCGUGAAGGGAAAAGAAGGAUCUAUGGUUCGUAAACUUCUUUUGCAGGGGAAUAAAGUGCAGGACGUGUCCUGUUUUGUAUGUGCCCUGAGAAUAAGGAUCGGCUAACUCCGUGCCAGCCGCUGC